This 305-nucleotide ribosomal RNA is filed under the name uncultured bacterium. RNAcentral describes it as "bacterial SSU rRNA". It matches the Rfam family "Bacterial small subunit ribosomal RNA", at positions 337 to 660 of the family's 1533-position model. The record is from RNAcentral.
UCCUACGGGACGCAGCAGUGGGGAAUAUUGGACAAUGGGGGAAACCCUGAUCCAGCGACGCCGCGUGAGUGAAGAAGUAUUUCGGUACGUAAAGCUCUAUCAGCAGGAAAGAAAAUGACGGUACCUGACUAAGAAGCCCCGGCUAACUACGUGCCAGCAGCCGCGGUAAUACGUAGGGGCAAGCGUUAUCCGGAUUUACUGGGUGUAAAGGGAGCGUAGACGGCAGUGCAAGUCUGAAGUGAAAGCCCCGGGCUUAACCCGGGAACUGCUUUGGAAACUGUACGGCUGGAGUGCUGGAGAGGUAA